AAUUGCAAAAAUAAAAAUAGCACAAUUGAAAACAAAAUCCGGCACAAACCUAUCUAUCCUAUUACAUAUAUCCACUAUUUUAGGGUUUCCAAAUUGAAACCUCUUUUGUUUCUGCCGCAUCAGCUUCAACACACCUGAGAAAUGAGCUCCUUUCCUUUUCUGAACCUUCGAUUCUUGAUGUACCAGCUUUGGGUAAUCAAUACCCUACCUUUGUGGAGUGUUUUUGCUAGUUUUUUCAGCUAGCAUAAUUUUGGCCGGUAAGAAGAUACUGGGAUGCUUGGAGCCAUAAGUAAUUGGAUAGUAACAAUCUCCUCAGAUCUGAUUCCAAUCACCCAAUGUUGUCAUGAUUCCUAUUUUCCAGUACUGAUUCGAACUAGGUUCAGAGGCAUGAGCUCCAAAUCAGCAGUAGAUUCCAGGAUCAGCAGUCAGAGUUAGAC
Capsicum annuum is the source of this 437-nucleotide long non-coding RNA. RefSeq lists it as uncharacterized. The record is from RefSeq and is a predicted model, not a curated record. The transcript is spliced from 4 exons. NCBI's taxonomy places the organism in Eukaryota, Viridiplantae, Streptophyta, Magnoliopsida, Solanales, Solanaceae.